This 347-nucleotide long non-coding RNA is filed under the name Pan troglodytes (chimpanzee). RNAcentral describes it as "long non-coding RNA NONPTRT001745". The record is from RNAcentral. Lineage: Eukaryota; Metazoa; Chordata; Mammalia; Primates; Hominidae.
UUCGCAUCCUACUGUAUUAUUUUGAACUGAGAUCAAAUGGAGCCUUUUCCUGUUAUAUCCCAGUUCUUAAGACAUAUUUCUACUAAAAUCUUCUUUUCCGAUUUCUUGAAUGUAUAUACAUGAAAAUCAUACCUGAGUUAUACACAUUUAGUAAGUUCUUUUAUUGAAAUAUCUAAGAUAUAGUAAAUCAAAAUAUUUUUGAGAUCUGGAACGUAAACAUUAUGUGCGUAUGCACACAUAUAUAUUGUGUGUAUAUACACACACAUACAUAUGAUGGCCCAAGUCAGUUUUAUGUAGAUAAGGCACCAGCUCAAGGCGGAGGGCUCAUGGGGAAGCUGAGUGGCCUG